Molecule: unclassified non-coding RNA, 169 nt
Filed under: uncultured fungus
Lineage: Eukaryota; Fungi
Description: sequence contains ITS1
Source: RNAcentral
UUUACUUGAUUAUAUAAAGCUCAGAUACCACAAAAAUACAGAAUUAAAAACCUCCGGCGGGCUCGUAAAGACUCCCCUGAGCCAGCCCACCGAAGCAACUAAGUAAAUAGACAAAGGGUUGGAGUUUUUACGCUCUCUAAUGAUCCCUCCGCUGGUUCACCAACGGAGA